CAGUAGCCGCGGUAAUACGAAGGGGGCUAGCGUUGUUCGGAAUUACUGGGCGUAAAGGGCGCGUAGGCGGCCAUUCAAGUUAGAUGUGAAAGCCCUGGGCUCAACCUAGGAAUUGCAUUUGAUACUGUUUGGCUUGAGUUCGGGAGAGGUGAGUGGAAUUCCCAGUGUAGAGGUGAAAUUCGUAGAUAUUGGGAAGAACACCGGUGGCGAAGGCGGCGACCUGGUCCUUGACUGACGCUGAGGCGCGAAAGCGUGGGGAGCAAACAGGAUUAGAUACCCCUGUAGUCCCUGUCUCUUAUAC
Molecule: ribosomal RNA, 301 nt
Filed under: uncultured bacterium
Lineage: Bacteria
Description: partial 16S ribosomal RNA
Rfam family: Bacterial small subunit ribosomal RNA
Source: RNAcentral